GAUUCUGGCUCAGGAUGAACGCUAGCGACAGGCUAACACAUGCAAGUCGAGGGGCAGCAUAAAAGUAGCAAUACUUGGUGGCGACCGGCGCACGGGUGAGUAACGCGUAUGCAACCUACCUAUCAGAGGGGAAUAACCCGGCGAAAGUCGGACUAAUACCGCAUAAAACAGGGACACCGCAUGGUGAUAUUUGUUAAAGAAAUUCGCUGAUAGAUGGGCAUGCGUUCCAUUAGGUAGUUGGUGAGGUAACGGCUCACCAAGCCGACGAUGGAUAGGGGAACUGAGAGGUUGGUCCCCCACACUGGUACUGAGACACGGACCAGACUCCUACGGGAGGCAGCAGUGAGGAAUAUUGGUCAAUGGGCGAGAGCCUGAACCAGCCAAGUCGCGUGAAGGAAGAAGGAUCUAUGGUUCGUAAACUUCUUUUGCAGGGGAGUAAAGUGCAGGACGUGUCCUGUUUUGUAUGUACCCUGAGAAUAAGGAUCGGCUAACUCCGUGCCAGCCGCCGC
RNAcentral lists this ribosomal RNA (509 nucleotides) under uncultured bacterium. Its description in RNAcentral is "bacterial SSU rRNA". It matches the Rfam family "Bacterial small subunit ribosomal RNA", at positions 15 to 518 of the family's 1533-position model. The record is from RNAcentral.